Long non-coding RNA from Gallus gallus (chicken), 9751 nucleotides. The record is from Ensembl. NCBI's taxonomy places the organism in Eukaryota, Metazoa, Chordata, Aves, Galliformes, Phasianidae.
GGCCAACCCAGGGGAGCUCAGGUGCAUGGAAUGAACCUGUGUCUGUAAGGGGUGGGGCCAGGAUCCAGCCCUUCCCAGACCUCAUUUAAGGGCUGGCAGUAGAGAUGAGGGUGUCUUCCUGGAGAUCCCUGCUUACCCAAGGCCUUCCAUAGUGCCAUUUACUACAGCCUGGAUGGCAGAGAGCAUGCUAUGGGAAGCCAUGCAUGUGGGUGAAGUGGCUUCCACCUUGGAGGAGCCCCUGAAAGCAAUGUCAGGAAAGAAAGCAGCACAGACAGCACUGGACUGUUCUAUGUAUGAGCGCAAGGGAGAGAGAUCAUCUAGGAAAUGGCCUUCCAAAGGGAAAAUGGCACCAGAAGGAGCAAGGAGUGGGACGUGCCUGGAAGUCAGCCUUCUGCAGAUGCCAAGCUCCUGGGUGAGCGUGGCAGGAGAAAGUAGUGCAAUGACCAAAACUGCUUUGUGAGCUUGAGUCAUGUUGGAGAAGGGGAAUUCCUGGGUCGCUGCCAUGAGGUCUGCUUCUGCCUCUUCAGUUGACUACAUGGGCAGAAAAAGGUCCUUGGGUGUCUUCCUGAGAACCUGCUCCUGCCACCUUGGCUGUGUCCAUGGGUCCCAGCUCCUCUGCCAGGCAACAACCAUCAGAGUUGGCUUUGCAGCCCCCACCUUGCAGUAGUGGUGUCUCUCAGAAGGGUUUACCCAGGCCUUUAGUGCCCUCCUAGAGUGUAGGAGCUCUACUGCUAUCUCACUUCCAUCAGUGUGGCAGAAACAGACCUGCCAGUAAGAACUAGAAGUCAUUUAAUUAUAGGCUCAUAGAAUCCCCGAAUCAUAGGGUGACUUGUGGUAGAAGGGACCUUAAACAUCAUCUAGUUCCAAUGCCUGUGCUGUGGUCUGGGUUGCCACCCAGAAGGUCAGACUGCCCAAGUCCUUUCCAGAAGUGCUUUCACUCCUAGACUUAUUUUGAUGUUGUUUGCUCACCUGUCCUCAAGGAAACGGCUUGUCUUUUAGAAGGAAGGACACAGGCAUGCCAAACUCCUCCUAAGCAAGGGGCUUGACCAACUGGGGGCUUAAACAGAAAAAUGGCACCCUCCUGUGGCAACAUUAAAAAAAAAAAAGUCUUAAUAAAUGCGGUGUCUAAUUCAGUCAGUACAUGUGACCCACAUGCACAUCACCAUGUGUUUUGUAAGGGAUCAUGGUGCCCCUCUGCUUAGGCCAAAACUUGCCCCUCAAGCUGGGCUAGUGGAGUGGGGCCUAGCUGUGGGCGAAGACCCUCCGAGGUCAGGUGGAGAAGCCUGCGGCAAGUUGUGAGGCAGCAGUUUGGCUGUGUGGAGCCACCCUGCAUCCCGAAGUCCACGUCCAGCCAGCUUCAAGAGCCUACGUCCUUUUUUUGGACUUGGCUCUUCGUCAAAACCAUAGGGUACAGUGCCUGCAUGGACUUCAAAGGAAAGGCACCAAAUGUGAUUUGGCCCAGGCCAUUUAUUGCUAGCAUCUUUGUUAGAUACUGCUGCCAAGGGUUAAAAUGUUUACAUGCCCCCUGAUUUUAAAUGGACUGGGUUGCAUGUCAGAUGCCAACGGGAGAGACAGCUGGAGUAUCUAAACCAAGAGCUUUGAUCUUAGUAUCUGUAAAAAAAGAGGUCAUUUGGUCUCCCAGGAAGCAGAGACAUUUAGAAGGUCCCUGUACAACUCAUGCAAGUAUUUUAUUAACGACAAUUUUUAUUCAAAUGUAGAUCUCGGAGCUCACAGGGAAAACCACCCUCACCCACCCUGCAGGAGGAGCACAAUGGCACAAUGGCACCCUCUGUUGCCCUGCGCGCUGCUCCCACGUGGAUGUAUGAACUCCUGAAAGUAUCCAUUCCCCAUCUCCAAAUCUCAUCUCUUCCCGCCGAGCUUCCUUGUUUGUUUGGAGUUAUCCUGUUAUUUCCAUUUGUAAUAAAACCCGUCUUGUUCUUUUUGUGCUGAGUGGAGAAACAUCGAGAGGAUUGUCACGCUCAUUUCAUGAACAGUUGGCCUCCUGUCCCCAUUUUGUCCUCCCUAAGUGGCAGCUCCUUGCAACAGUUGUAUUAACAACUGAGCUCAGCCCUGCAAAGUGGUGGGCAUUUCCAGCGUUAACUGGAAAGCAAUUAGUCUUGAUGAGAUUGGGCUGUCCAACUCUCAGACAAUUAAUUAAAUUACAGCUUGUCUUUCAUUUGGUUGAACAAAAACUUGAUUCAUUAAUUAAAAUACACUGUGAAUCUGAUUUUUUGCUCUGAUCCUCUGUGUGUUCGUAAGCAAACAACAAGUUCCUUUUAGGAACCAAAACAAAAUUCCUUCUGGAGCAUGACAAGUUUUCACUCCUAAUCACCUUGUAUCCAUGUGAACACACUUUAAUUGCUCAUUAACACAAAGUUAGCGGGCUGACACACAACUAGCUGCUUCUUUUGGACUUCUCUAACAGUAACUUUUUUGUGUGUGUCUCGUAAGGAGACCAGACGUUUCUCAGAAUCAAUCAACUUUUUCUGUGUUUUACUUCCAUGCCAUGCUGUAAAGGAUUGUACAGUUGCCUCGCUGUAAUGUUAUUAUUCAGGACUGAUUUUACUGUGAUGGCAUAAGAGGAAUUAGACAUGUCCAUUCUAUUGUUGUUGAUAUGACUGUGCCUAUUUUCCCCAUAUGCAGUCUGAAACAAUUAUCAGAAGCAGUACAUAGAACUCAUCACUUAGAAAUGAUUACUUAGAAGUCAUUAGAUGUUGUUAAUGUGAACAGAUUUUUGUAAAAGCCACGUUUUGUGCAGGACUGGUUAUUUUUAGAUAAAAAUAUUUAAACUGAAGAAGAGAUUUCAAUUUUUCAAAUUGUGAUGUACAGGAACUCAGUGAGAAUUAAAAAUCUGACAUAAGAUCCAGUAUAAAAAAAGUAUUUCAGUGCAUCUAUUUGACAAGCACAAAUGGUCUGUAAGUAUGUUGAAUUAUAACAAAAAAUGAGUUGGAAAUAUUUGGGAUACUCUGUCUGUUCAGUUUUAAGCAGCCUUACCUACUGUGCCAAUGACUUACAGUCAGGUUUGGAUUCUGUGUGCUCAUCAUCAGCUUUCAGGAUCCAUGCUACAUUUGCCUCCUUUGAUUCUGCAAAGAUUUUGUCAAGAAAUUGAACUGAAUUUUAUCCCAGGCCUCACAAAUACAACCAUGUUUGACAGUUGUGGGAAAGAAGGGGGUUCGAGCUGCAUCUAUUGUUUGUUCAGAAAUAUCUAAUUUCAUAAGUCAAAUUACUCGUAAUGAUUCCAUACUAAUUUGUUAUUUGAAUCCUUUGCAGGCCUACUUUCUCCCAGAUGAUGGGAGACAAGAGGAAUUGCCUAAGCUUUUGAUACUGUGUAGAUCUCUGCUGAAACACAUUCUGAUUGCUACUGAUCUAGACAUAUCUUUUUUCUUAUAAGCUUAAGCCCGCAAGCUUCAGAAUUUAGCAUAAAAGACCAGCUGUCACCUGAUUUUGUUGUUCUUUUUUUUAGAGAAACAAUUCAAUUUUAGGGGAAAAAAAGGCAACUCAAUGUUAAAAUGCCAAAGAAAAGCUUCUCUGAAAUGUAAACAAAACCAAAAUGACCAUACCUUAAAACAGCACAUUUCAACAGGAGUUGAAGUGUUCCUCCCUUCUGUUUUCUCAAACCGAAGUGCUGACAAAAUCAGUAUGUUUUCUGAAGUGUUUCAUUUUGAUCAGAUUUGCAUGUUUUGGUGAAAUAUGGAUCCAGUGAAGCGAUCCUGGCUGGCUGAAUGUGUUGUUUCUUUUGGUUUAUGGCAUCUGCGAGCCUAUCAAAACUGUCCCAGUCUUCCAUGAAUGGAGAAAUGAUUCCAGUUAAGUCAAAAAGAAAGAAAGAGAGAAAGAGAGAAAGAGAGAAAGAAAGAAAGAAAGAAAGAAAGAAAGAAAGAAAGAAAGAAAGAAAGAAAGAAAGAAAGAAAGAAAGAAAGAAAGAGAAAAAGAAAAAGAAAAAGAAAAAGAAAAAGAAAAAGAAAAAGAAAAAGAAAAAGAAAAAGAAAAAGAAAAAGAAAAAGAAAGAAAAAGAAAAACCAACCCUGAAGUGUUGUCACUCUUAUCCAGAAAACCAGGCCCAAGUGAACAUUCAGAAAAAGGAUAGAAAUAGAUGGAAGAGAUGUCAUUCCUUGUGAAGAAGGGGGGAAGUUUAGGUUAGAUGUUAGGAAGAAAUUCUUUUCUCAGAGGUUGGUGAGGCACUGGUACAGGCUGCCUGGUGAGUUGUAGAUGCCCCAUCCCUGGAAGUGCUGGAGGCCAGGUUGGAUGGGGCCAUGUGCAGCCUGAUCUGGUGUGGAGCAACCCAGCCCACAGCAAACGGCUAGGAGAGGAUGAACUUCAAGGUCCCUGCCAACCUAAGACAUUAUGUCAUUCUAUGAUUCUUUGAUUCUGUGCAGUCACCUGUCUUUGCAUGAUGGAGAAUACCAAUCCUCAGCCAAAGACAUCCUCAUUCCUUUUAUAUUUCCCUCACAUUUCCCUGUACACAUUUGCUACUGACUUGAUGUGGCAAAAAUGCCCAUUUGCACAAGCUGUGAGUCUUCUAGGGACUCCAUCGCCUGGCUUAUCACUUUAACAUCUGAUGUCAACUCUACUUUAAAAUGCAGAGCUGAAACAAAGGAUGCCAAACUAAACCAUGCAAGUGUCCAUCUCCAGCUGAGGAGGGGACACGAAGAAAAGAAAUCUGUUGUCACCUCUGGAGAUGUGGUCCAUUUCCAAGCAAAAUCUGGGUACAAUGCAGCAGAAAGUCACCACGUGCCACGGAGUUGUUUCAGCCCUUAAAAAAAACCCAGAUUUGUUGAGGGUGACUCCUGUUUCCCCACUAGUACAUAAACAUUGUGUUUAGCUACACCAAUUCCCCAGGAGUGAUGAGCGUGCUGGCAGGUCAGGGGACCUGCUGUUGGGUUAUAUCAUUGUUAUGAGAGUCACACUGCUAAGAAGCUUUGAGUUGUACCCCAUGCUGAGAAUAAUCCAAAUAAUCUGCAACUCAAAACAUCCCUCAUCAGGGAUCACUGUGAACACAGGCAAUUUCAGCUGACCCGAUGUGCUAAACAUAAACAUGUCAAGAUCUCAAUAGUACCAGAACAUUUGUUUUAAAUAUCCUGUGUGAAAUUGGUGCCAAUGGACAACAUCAAUCGUUUGCCAGAUGUUCUUUUCUCUAAUUUUACUGCAGAGCACAUACAAGUAUGUGCUGGAAUUAACAUGAUGACUGGGGAGAACACAGUAGCCAACCCUUGGUUUAUUGCAGCAGUGCAAAAGACAGUAAUUUCCAGGAAGAGAGAUUACUCCUGGUUCAAAAGACUGUGAGAUAUGCAUGCAGCCUCUCAAGGGAUAUAUAUAUCUCAUGCAAACAAAUAACAUGAUCUAUGAGCCCUUUAAGGUUAAGUUUUGACAGUGGUAGAACAGGUGAGAGCUUGGACUGUAUAGCUCUCUUCUCAUGAGCUGGAUGUUGUUAUCCAGAGAAGAAAGCAAAGUGCACAUCACUAGUAUUGAGGCUAACCACAACCACAAGCUCAGAGCAAUCUACAAUCUACAGCAGAAACCCAGAGUGGUAAAACUGCAACUGGAAUGAGGCAUAGAGAUGAGUCAAGUACGAGGGUUGCUCCAAAAGUAAUGCCUCCUGUUUUAUUCCAUUGGCCCAUUAUGUCAGUAGCAGAUGAUGGCAGUAGGGACUGAACCUUCCCACCAAUAUUCUGUUACAUUUUGUUGCUGUGUGACAGAUGGCAGCAGAGGGGCAGUCUGACAAAAUGGUGUCUGACAUGGAAGUGUAUAUGAAACAAAGGUGAAAGAUAAGGAAAGCUGGGACCACAGAAAUUUAUCUGGUAAUUGCUGAGAUCUGUGUCCACGGCAAAUGUAUUCUGCACAGAAAGAGAGCGGAUGCACUGUUCCACAUCUACCAAAGCAUCAAAUGACGUUUUUCAGGGCAUUGCUGCUGUAACAUAUUGUGUAAAGAAACUAGAUCAGAAAUACUGAAACACAUAUAAAAAAAGAUAACGUGUCUUUCCAUCCACAUUGUCAAUAGAUUCAGAGCAGGAACAGUGCCAGAUUAAAGCAAAGCAAAUAUUUGCAGUAUAAUAUUUUAUUCAUCAGAAAUUCUUCAAGUUUUUGAUGGAUAUUUUUGGCUGAUACAGAAAUUCUUUAACUACAAAGUUUUAUUUGAGUGUUUUCAGAAACGCUGCUGAAUAUGAGUCUCUUAAGACUGAAACCUUCUUAAAAAAAAACAACAAAAACAAACAAACAAAAAAAACCCACAUAGAAACAGAGCAUUCGUUUUUCUAUACAUUUCCAUAAGUCUUUGGAGGUUUUUAGUGUGCAGUGGAUAAACUGAUGGAUUUAAAUGACACAGAUAUCCUCAGCGCAAAAUCUCAGAUCCUGGAGCUUUUAUUUACCAAAGGAAGCCAAACUCAAAACAUAUUUUGUUUACCUUUGGCCAUAUUUUCUUCAAGAUAUUACUUCAAAUGCAAGAAGGCAUGCCAUCUUAGGAAUAAUGUCUCUCUUUAUACAUCUUUAACAGAUUUCCUUCCUUCCUUCCUUCCUUCCUUCCUUCCUUCCUUCCUUCCUUCCUUCCUUCCUUCCUUCCUUCCUUCCUUCCUUCCUCCCUUCCUCCCUUCCUCCCUUCCUCCCUUCCUCCCUUCCUCCCUUCCUCCCUUCCUCCCUUCCUUCCCUCCUUCCUUCCCUCCUUCCUACCUUUUCCUUUUUCCUUUUUCCUUUUUCCUUUUUCCUUUCUUUUUUUCCUAGGGUUUGCCCUCUUUCUUGCUCAAAGAGUAGGUGUUGAGCUGAUAAAUGGAAGAACUCUUCUGGAUACAGUCCAUCCCGGAAACCCUCAUACUAUUAAAAACUGUAAUUACAAUUUGGAAGGGAAUCCAAACUUUUCUAGGAAUGCUUAAGUCUUUCAGGACUGCUAAAUUCUUCAAACUUAACAGGGUCUGUGCAGUUUGCUUACUUGGGGAUAUGCAUGUUCACUUCACCAAAGGAAACACAAACUAGAAUUCAGUAGGGCUCAUUAGAAAAUCCCACACACUGAGCUAUCUUUAUAAACGCUUAAAGAAAUAAUUUGUAGGUACCCCAGAAGAUGGAAAGAGGAAUGCACUGAUUUUUCCAUAGAUGGUUAAGCAAAAAAUGCUUCUCUGCAAUUUUGAUUACUUUGACAUGAUGUAAAUUAAUACUAGCUUCUACAGAGUUGGUUUCUCUGGCAGGGACUGUCAAUAAAGUAACUAAGAUUAAGGGUCUUGCUAUGGAUUUUAGAAGCACUUUAAAACAACAAGCAUAAAUGCUUCACUAAUAUUUAAGAUGGGAUUCACUGAUGUGGCCAUCCUAUUUAAUACCCAUAACCUAUAACCAUCUAGUUAAAAAUAGACCCAUAGUAAGCUUGCUAGCUGCAGAGGAUCCUAUACAAUCCCUUAAAGAGCCCUAACUUGAAAGCAUAAUCAAAACAAGCUAGCUUCUGUUCAUUCAUGAUGUUAUUUCACACUGAAGCUGGUCAGCUAUCUAAAUAAUCCAUGUUCAGCCUUUCUUUUGGCCUUAAUGGAGUACAACACGAAAGUCAACGCUUGGUGCUAUAUCUUUCUAUGGCUCCUUUAAGGUCAUAGAACCAUAGCAUAGCUUAGGUUGGAAGGGACCUCAAAGAUUAUCCAGUUCCAACCCCCUGCCAUGGGCUGGCUGCCCCUCACCAGCUCAGGUUGCCCAUGGCUCCAUCCAGCCCAGCCUUGAGCACCUCCAGGUAUGGGGCACCCACAGCUCUCUGGGCAGCCUGUGCCACUCAUAUCUGUUUGCUCUUCUAAACUACAGCUUUUACUCUUGGUUGCCAGUCACAGAGGUGAAAACAAUGCAGUUUUCUGAAAAGUCCUAUGGAAAGUAGACCUAUAGCAGAGCAGCUACAGCUUGCUGCACAAAUGCAGUAUCUAUUAUUAUCUUUUAAAAUAUCCCAUUUAAAAUAAUUUAACUUAUUGCAUACAUUGAUAUAUAUUAAAAUACAGUCAAACAGCUGACCAGAUCGACACCUGAAAACAAUCUGGUCAUGUGAGCUGUCCUGGAUUACCAAAUUCAGCCUGCUCUGUGGCAGUCUUGGUAAUAUUUCACAAUUAUACUGAGAACAGCUGAAAACUCUUCAGUUAGGUUCUGAUAGCCAACAUUAGCUCUUUGAUAUAAACUACUGGAUUAAAAUUGUUUACACUACUUAGUGAGUACUUAGAACCGUGAAUUUUGGUGGAGUUGUUCCACAAAGAAUUUUUACGUAACCAGUGCUAUGAUUGAUUGCACCCUUCACUAAAGUCACAUGCAGUCAUCACAGUGUGCACAAGAAACAAGAAGAGAAAACAUCCCUCCAACACACAUCACACCUCCAAAGAGAGACAGACACCUGAAGGCUGUCAGCCACUGCACAGAGAUGAGGCAUCAUAGUUUCCUCUGGAAAUUGGGGCACACCAGCUGUAACUACUCACAGCCAUUCUGCAUCAGAGUAUGAAAAGAGAGUGGAUGCAUCAGUGCAGUGCUGGGGUUUUACAGCUAUGUGCAACAAAAUGUAUAAAACUUAUGAGUUUCAGAGCAGGUUUGUUUGUCUUCUCCUACCACGUAAGUCAUAUUGAGGGCUUUUUUCUACACAAGCAUACAAUCUUAGAGUACUAUUGCAAUUCUCUUAUUCCAUCAUACAGGUGAUGCACAGCACAGGACGGUCCAUAUAGCUGUGAAAAUCCUAACUCUGGUAUUUACUGACUUUCAUGCUUUUUUCAGACAACCCUGCAAUUAUAUUCAUGUCAUUUCUGCCAGUUAAAACUGUUGCUAACCUUCAUAAUUGUUAAGGGACUGCACAGUGCAAUUUAGCAUAGUUAGGGCAAUUAGAAAGUUAAGCACCAUGAGCCAACAGUCAGUAGCAGCAUUUUUUGCCAAGUAUAAGGAAACCUAAAGGCUCCAUCUAAUACAAGAUAGUUCUCAGGAUUUUGUUUGCAGGCCCAUGGGCCAGCCUCCUGCUUUGUCAGGCUGUAGCAGAUCUUCUGCCUUUUUGCCUGGUGAAUGUUGUUGAAGCAAGAGCAGGACCUGAGCCUGUUUCAAUUGCCCCAUUGGUAACCGCUUGGGAACUUGACCUCCAGGGUUGUAACUGGAGGUAGGCUUGAGAUCUCCCCAUUGGAAGAUACUUAACACAUUUCCCUUGCUUUUUACAUCCAUCUGAAAUGUAUUUAGCUAACUUCUGAGCUACCUUGCAUGUAAAACCUUGAACCACAAUUGUAAACUCUCCACUUUCCCUUAUUAGUACAAUAUUUGAUUUGGAUGACAUGUUUUUUAUAAUAUUUAUUUUCUGGCCCAUUUUGAGACUCUCGUGUUAAUGCCACAAGAACUUCACCCCUUGUAUAGUAUUUCAGACAUGGAGGGAAAAAAAAUGAAGUGAAAAAGUAAAAAUAAAAAGCAAAACCAACCGUCUGCAUUCACUUAAACUACAUUACAAUAAAGCUCAGUAAGAUCUGAUCAGUAGUUUUUUUAGCCUUCUCUGAUUCAAUAUGAAAGAAAUUAGUGGAAAACCUAAAGGCUGAAAGGAAACUUUUGCCACUGUUCAAAACAGGAUGUGAAACUUUUAACAUAAUAUUUACAUAUAUUACGCUAAAUACUUUCUGCAGAGUUAAACUUUAGCACUGCUAGCUUCAGACAGACUGGGAAAGACAUUUGCUUAUAUCUGAUAAACCAGAUUUUGAGAAGAAAAUGUUUUAUUCUUUUUGUUCUUCCUAUGUCUACGCUAGUGCUGGCAGAACAAUUGUGAUUUAGAAGUAUGUAAACAUGUUCAUUAAAG